AGCAGGUUGGGGAGAGGAGGCAAACAUUCCCAGUGUCAGAGAAGUUUGGUGAGUCUUCGUCAUUUUUGCCCUAGGGGCACAGGGACAUUUGAGUUUCUCCCUUGAGGCAUGGGAAAGACGGGUAAGUGGGUAUUGGAGCCGCUGGGCCUGGCAGAGGAAAUAAGCUGAGUCACAGGACUUACUCCACUCCUAUCACCUCAUCUCUGCCUGACAUUGGGGCCAUUCAUCAGCAGGACAUUCAAAGACAAACAGGAAGGGCAUUUAGAAGAAAGAAUGAGAAUCAGGACACCUCCAAUUACCCAGCCAUUUACAAAGAUUCUUUGCAACCAGGGGCUUGUCUACCUGGUGGGCAGAGGAAGAAAACUUUGCAUUUGGCUGUUUGGAUACUCCCAAGUAACACAUCCAGCCAUUUGUAUCUGUAGAGACACAGGUGUGGAAAAGAUCAGCACUUGGAUUCAAUCUGGGUUGAAGUUUUGCCAGCCAAAGAACAAAAACAAAGAAAAACUGUGUCUGAGAAGGAGGAAGUCAGGAGCGACAACUACAAAACUAGAAGUGUGUGGCUGAGAUGCUUCUCUUCAUUCCCCCAGCUCCAUGUGCCUUUAAAACAAAGUACCAGGUUCUCAAGGGAUCAUGAAUGAUUCUUUUUUCCUCUCAUCCAAAUGCCCGCAGAGAGCCAGAGGACAAGAGAUGUCCCAGUGACCCAUCUGACUCGAAACUCUGUGUGUUCAGCAAGGCAUAGCACAACUGCCCAAAGCAAGGGACCAGGGGUGGGGGUGAAGGGUUGGGUGUGGGGAGAGAGUUGCUGCUCUGGAGCCCAACCUCUAUCUGUUGUAAAUGGCUGAACAGACACUUGCAGAAGGAGAGAUUUUGAGGGUCACUUGGAAAACCUGUAUGGAUUGUUUAAUAAUGUCUGCCAUAAGAACAGAGGUGGAGAGCAGUGGUACACAUACCAAGUAUCAGCCAUUUGUAAUCCAUAGAAAUCUACUGUAGGAAUUGAUUAGCAAUGUCUGCCAUGAGCAUAGAAGUGGAGAGUGGCAGUACAUAUGCUGUAUAUCUGCCAUUUGUGAACCAAGGAUGUUUUUGUGGAAAGCAUAUCAGUCCAGCUAGAUGGCAGUGUGGCUCUAAGUCAAUAGGGUAGAGUUUCAGUAGACCCCUGCCAAAAGAUAAAUCCAAAUCCUACUUUGCCCGUGUAUUAUACAGUGACUUUAACCAAAUGACUACAUCUCUUGG
Molecule: long non-coding RNA, 1230 nt
Filed under: Homo sapiens (human)
Lineage: Eukaryota; Metazoa; Chordata; Mammalia; Primates; Hominidae
Description: HSALNT0276239
Source: RNAcentral